GAAAUGCCGAGGGCUUGGAGG
Molecule: microRNA, 21 nt
Filed under: Echinococcus granulosus
Lineage: Eukaryota; Metazoa; Platyhelminthes; Cestoda; Cyclophyllidea; Taeniidae
Description: egr-miR-10236-5p
Source: miRBase by way of RNAcentral